RNAcentral lists this ribosomal RNA (497 nucleotides) under uncultured bacterium. Its description in RNAcentral is "partial 16S ribosomal RNA". It matches the Rfam family "Bacterial small subunit ribosomal RNA", at positions 28 to 507 of the family's 1533-position model. The record is from RNAcentral.
GAUGAACGCUGGCGGCGUGCCUAAUACAUGCAAGUCGAGCGAACAGACGAGGAGCUUGCUCCUCUGACGUUAGCGGCGGACGGGUGAGUCACACGUGGAUAACCUACCUAUAAGACUGGGAUAACUUCGGGACACCGGAGCUAAUACCGGAUAAUAUAUUGAACCGCAUGGUUCAAUAGUGAAAGACGGUUUUGCUGUCACUUCUAGAUGGAUCCGCGCCGCAUUAGCUAGUUGGUACGGUAACGGCUUACCAAGGCAACGAUGCGUAGCCGACCUGAGAGGGUGAUCGGCCACACUGGAACUGGGACACGGUCCAGACUCCUACGGGAGGCAGCAGUAGGGAAUCGUCCGCAAUGGGCGAAAGCCUGACGGAGCAACGCCGCGUGAGUGAUGAAGGUCUUCGGAUCGUAAAACUCUGUUAUUAGGGAAGAACAAAUGUGUAAGUAACUAUGCACGUCUUGACGGUACCUAAUCAGAAAGCCACGGCUAACUACGUG